RNAcentral lists this transfer RNA (76 nucleotides) under Staphylococcus aureus. RNAcentral's name for it is "tRNA-Thr". It matches the Rfam family "tRNA". From Rfam's summary of the family: Transfer RNA (tRNA) molecules are approximately 80 nucleotides in length. Their secondary structure includes four short double-helical elements and three loops (D, anti-codon, and T loops). RNAcentral also lists the same sequence under 2 other names. The record is from RNAcentral. Lineage: Bacteria; Bacillati; Bacillota; Bacilli; Caryophanales; Staphylococcaceae.
GCCGGCCUAGCUCAAUUGGUAGAGCAACUGACUUGUAAUCAGUAGGUUGGAGGUUCAAGUCCUCUGGCCGGCACCA